Molecule: non-coding RNA, 109 nt
Organism: Gossypium hirsutum (cotton)
Lineage: Eukaryota; Viridiplantae; Streptophyta; Magnoliopsida; Malvales; Malvaceae
Source: Rfam
GCAUAUUUCAGGUUUGUGCAUGAAUCUAAUAAAACCAUAAGCUAGAAAAAGAAGAUGGAAAGGUGGAUUUGUUUCAUGUUAGAUUCACGCACAAACUCGUAAUCUGUCU